UUUUUUUUUUUUUUUUUUUUUUUUUUCUCUCUU
This 33-nucleotide non-coding RNA is filed under the name Prorocentrum micans. The record is from RNAcentral. Lineage: Eukaryota; Dinophyceae; Prorocentrales; Prorocentraceae.